Aptenodytes forsteri (emperor penguin) is the source of this 2441-nucleotide long non-coding RNA. RefSeq lists it as uncharacterized. The record is from RefSeq and is a predicted model, not a curated record. Lineage: Eukaryota; Metazoa; Chordata; Aves; Sphenisciformes; Spheniscidae. The transcript has 2 exons.
AAUAGGGUGCAAUUACCUUAACAUGGUAUAAUGUCAUCAGCUGAGCUAUCAGCCGCUGAGCUCACCCUGCUUGCUAAGUGAAAGAUGUUGACCUGAAUCAUCUUCACUGAAAGUUAACUUUCAUCUGGGAUGGGAAAUGGUGGGCAGUGCUCAUCAUCAGUUACAACAACUGAAGGAACAGGUCAGAACUCACUAAGCCCAUCAUACUGCUGAGUCUAGUACCUGUAAGCUGUCAAACAGACUUAAACGGGCAGAUUGUGGAUAGCUGGCUAUUGAAAGAGCUCUAAAAUUGGUAAAUCUGUAACUUAUUCUUUGAGCUUAAUGAGAUGCUGACUUCAGGUUGUAGAUUUCUUGUAAAGAUCUUGAAUCAUUGCAAGCACACUGUUAGGCUAGGAUAAUAAUCUUUGUGGUGAUAGCUGAUGUUUAAAAGUGGAGAACUAGGUCUGAUAUGAUAGUGAAUUGGGAACCAGACAUCAGUCCUUUUUCUGUCACUCAUUUGCUUUGUUGACUUGGACAAUUCUGCUUGAACAUCUCUGCUUCAUUCUCCUUAUUCAGAAAAUAAGAUUGAUAGUUCCUGAAAAGUGUGUUGCCAUGCGUAGUUGCGAUGCAUUUUUUGUAAAGCACUUGGAAGAUGAAAAGGAGUGUUCAAGAAAAAGUCUGUGGCCUUGCUUCUCUUGUUCCUCCUUAAUAUGCUGUCAUGCACCUAAUGAGAAAACUCCUGACUCAGCAGAAGGUGUGCCCUCACUUCUCAAGCUUCAUGACUUCUGUUCAUGCAGAAUCAUACCAGCGUAACUGUACAAUAACAGUUACAUUGUUAAUUGCUUAGCUGGCAGGGGAGGAGGAGGGAAUGGACUCCAGCUUACACCAACAGUUUACUGCUAAAACCUAUCUUAUGCUAGUGUAUCCAUGUGUGCAACUGCACUCAGCUUGGGGUCCUGUUGGUAACUUCCAGAGUAGGUGCUCAGCAAGCAUAAUUGCUUCUGUAAGUAGCUUAAGUUAUGUAUCACUUUGUUCCACGAAUGUGAAGCUCAUGUGAAUACUGUAUUACCUGUGGCAAUGCAGACAGUCCUUCAUUAAUAAUACAAGAACACUCUGAGUUUUCUGGUCCUGACACGAGAAGGAGCAGUGCAAGUCCACUGCCAAAUUACUGCAGGAAUAAAGAUGCUUAUUUAGGUGUUGCAAAAGACUUGCAGAAACUCAAUAUAGCAGAGAGUAUCAAAAGUGCUGGACAAAGGAGAGAACUGGCAACUGUCACACCAGCUGAAGAACAGAAUAAGUGUGAAUCUGGGGCUGCUCUUCUGUCCUGUUGUGGUUGCGCAGAGCCGUAUGCCAGGAUGGGCAUGUCACAGCAGGGGACAUUGGGCACAUCACAGCACCGUUCUGGAAGGAGCCGUGAAAGUGCAGGCUGACAAUGAGCUUGUGGAGUUGGGGUCACAAAAUUCAGAUGCUGCGGAGAGCUGAUGGCUCCUUGAAACUCAACUUAUCCAACCUCAGAUGAAUCCAGAAAUGGUAUCGCCCUGGGAGAAAGAAUGGAGCUCAGAGGCUUCAGAUGGGGAAUUUGGAGAGGCACCUUCUUCACACCUGUGGAAAACUUCACAUGAGAGGAAGAAAGGAUAAUGUAUUCUCCAAAGUUUUCAAGAGCACCAAACCAAGAUUUCUGUGAAACAAUGCAGUGUUGGGGGGGAUGCCUGCUUGAAGGAAGGCAGAACUGGAGAGGGACGCAGGAAUGUGGAUGAAGACCUUAAGCAUCUCUAGAGAGGGCAAAUGUAGAUUCAACAAAGCUUUAUGAGACAAAACGUCCUGAGAUGUAUACUCCAACAGGUCAGCUGUGCAGCCCACUGUCCUCAUGGAGCUUUCCCUGUACAUGUAUCUGCUGGCCAAGUGACCAGGGUAACAUGCCACAAUUUCCCUUCUGCACAGCCCCGGUGGAAAAUCAGAAUAGUGAUGAGUAUUUGUAUUCUGACCUCAGAAUUGGGUAGAAACAACAUGAAAUUUCCCCUGUUUUUCUAGCCUGAUUAUCUUUAGGAACAAGACAUGGGAAAUCAGGGCACGUCUCUUUUUGUCUGCUGGUUUGCAUACCUCUAGAGAGUUCUCUCUCUUCCCCCUCUUACUUUUGGACUAGUCUUGGCCAGUUUCAAGAAAAACUUAAUAGAUUAAUGGGAAUCUCAAAGCCUGUAAAGUUUUUACAACAUUUGGGAAGAGAGGUGACCCAGCAGGUGAUAGAAUCCAGACAGGAGAGAGGCCUUUUGGAGAUCCAAACCAGGAAGAUGGCUUUAACUGAAGUUCAUGCCUGGUUUUAUGCAAAAGUCAAUCAGUCACAAGAAAUGAAGCUAUAAGAAACCAUGAUCUGUUCUUUGUGGUGCUCACAGACCAACUUCUUAAGUGACUGUAAAUGUUUUGAGAAGUGUUUUUUAUCACUGCUCAAUAAAGUUGUUGCAUGU